Molecule: transfer RNA, 72 nt
Filed under: Myotis brandtii (Brandt's bat)
Lineage: Eukaryota; Metazoa; Chordata; Mammalia; Chiroptera; Vespertilionidae
Rfam family: tRNA
About the family: Transfer RNA (tRNA) molecules are approximately 80 nucleotides in length.
Source: Rfam by way of RNAcentral
GCCGGCAUGGCUCAGUGGUUGAGCGUCAACCUAUGAAGCAGUAGGUCCCAAGUUUGAUUCCUGGUCAGGGCA